GUCAUGAUGCAAAUCCAAAGUGUUGUGUGCAGUAUUUAUGUGCAGCUGAGUAGAGUGGAGCAGCUGAGACUUGCCAACAUUCACCAUGAAGAUCACUCUUUCUUUAUUCCUGCUACUAAGCAGCCUCAUCAAUGUAAAAUGUCAAAGUCUUGAGUCAUUACAAGCAACAGUACAGAAGAAACCUGGAGAAACUCUGAGUCUCUCCUGCAGAGGAUCUGGAUUUACUUUUGGAAACUACAACAUGCACUGGAUCAGACAACAGGCGAACAAACCACUGGUGUGGAUAGGGGAUAUCCAUCAUGAUGCCAGUGGCACUGGCUAUAGUAAAUUUUUUGAAGGGAGAACAGAAAUCACCAGAGAUAAUUCCAACAACAUGGUGUAUCUGAAACUCACUGGUCUGACAAUAGAGGACACAGCUGUGUAUUACUGCGCACGGGAAGCACAGUGA
This is a non-coding RNA of Clarias gariepinus (North African catfish), 448 nucleotides long. Lineage: Eukaryota; Metazoa; Chordata; Actinopteri; Siluriformes; Clariidae. The record is from the annotation of a RefSeq genome assembly.